UGGCCUAACACAUGCAAGUCGAGGGGUAGAAGGAGCUUGCUCCUUUGAGACACGGCGCACGGGUGCGUAACGCGUAUGCAAUCUACCUUUUACAGAGGGAUAGCCCAGAGAAAUUUGGAUUAAUACCUCAUAGUAUAUAACCUUCGCAUGUUGGUUAUAUUAAAGUUCCAACGGUAAAAGAUGAGCAUGCGUCCUAUUAGCUAGUUGGUGUGGUAACGGCACACCAAGGCAACGAUAGGUAGGGGUCCUGAGAGGGAGAUCCCCCACACUGGUACUGAGACACGGACCAGACUCCUACGGGAGGCAGCAGUGAGGAGUAUUGGACAAUGGGCGCAAGCCUUAUGAAGGGCAUGCCGCGUGCAGGAAGACGGUCCUAUGGACUUGAUUGUGCUUUUUACGGGAAGAAACACUCCUACGGUAGGAGCUGAC
Molecule: ribosomal RNA, 429 nt
Filed under: uncultured bacterium
Lineage: Bacteria
Description: bacterial SSU rRNA
Rfam family: Bacterial small subunit ribosomal RNA
Source: RNAcentral